GAUGAACGCUGGCGGCGUGCCUAAUACAUGCAAGUCGAGCGAACAGACGAGGAGCUUGCUCCUCUGACGUUAGCGGCGGACGGGUGAGUAACACGUGGAUAACCUACCUAUAAGACUGGGAUAACUUCGGGAAACCGGAGCUAAUACCGGAUAAUAUAUUGAACCGCAUGGUUCAAUAGUGAAAGACGGUUUUGCUGUCACUUAUAGAUGGAUCCGCGCGGCAUUAGCUAGUUGGUAAGGUAACGGCUUACCAAGGCAACGAUGCGUAGCCGACCUGAGAGGGGGAUCGGCCACACGGGAACUGAGACACGGUCCGACCUCCUACGGAGGGCAGCGGUGGGGAGUCUUCCGAAUGGGGGGAAAGCCGAACGGAGCAACGCCGGGUAGGUAAUAAAGGUCUUCGGUUCGUAAAACUCUGUUAUUGGGAAAGAAAUAAUGUGUAGGUAACUAUGCACGUCUUAACGGUACCUAAUCAGAAGGCCACGGCUAACUCCGU
Molecule: ribosomal RNA, 496 nt
Filed under: uncultured bacterium
Lineage: Bacteria
Description: partial 16S ribosomal RNA
Rfam family: Bacterial small subunit ribosomal RNA
Source: RNAcentral